AGAGUUUGAUCCUGGCUCAGAAUGAACGUUGGCGGCGUGGAUUAGGCAUGCAAGUCGCGCGAGAAGUGUAGCAAUACAUGGAAAGCGGCGAAAGGGAGAGUAAUACAUAGGUACGUACCCUUGGGACUGGGAUAGCGGCGGGAAACUGCCGGUAAUACCGGAUGACCUCUUCGGAGCAAAGGUGUGACUCCGCCCUUGGAGCGGCCGACGUGGUACCAGCUAGACGGCGGGGUAACGGCCCACCGUGGCUGCGACGCCUAGGGGGCGUGAGAGCGCGACCCCCACCACUGGGACUGAGACACUGCCCAGACACCUACGGGUGGCUGCAGUCGAGAAUCUUCGGCAAUGGGCGCAAGCCUGACCGAGCGACGCCACGUGCGGGAUGACGGCCCUCGGGUUGUAAACCGCUGUCGGGGGGGAUGAAGUCACGGGGGGUACUCCCCUCGUGUUGACAGAGCCCCGGAGGAAGCGCGGGCUAAGUACGUGCCAGCAGCCGCGGUAAUUC
RNAcentral lists this ribosomal RNA (505 nucleotides) under uncultured bacterium. RNAcentral describes it as "bacterial SSU rRNA". It matches the Rfam family "Bacterial small subunit ribosomal RNA", at positions 8 to 526 of the family's 1533-position model. The record is from RNAcentral.